Molecule: long non-coding RNA, 2062 nt
Organism: Pogoniulus pusillus (Red-fronted tinkerbird)
Lineage: Eukaryota; Metazoa; Chordata; Aves; Piciformes; Lybiidae
Exons: 2
Source: RefSeq, a predicted model, not a curated record
CCUUUGGAAUGACAUACUCAGCUGAACCUGGAGCCAGUGCCGCUGUCUCCAGAGGGCUACGUGGAGCAACCCGGGAAAGCUCUGCCCCUGCUGCCUGUUUGUAAGGAAGAAGGCUGGAGUCAGCAGCUCAGAAGUAGGGAUCCAAAGAUCUGCUGGUAUCUCCUAAAGUCAGAUGAGGUUUCUUCUCGAUUUUGUUCACUCUUGCUCCUGAGCCUUUUCGUUUUUUAAAUAGUUAUAACGACACUGGAUGAAUGAAUCCAGUUAGAUCUUAAGUAGGAAUUUCUACCAUGCCAGCCUUUGUUUGUUGCCGGUGGAUUCUCUGAACCAAAGUCAGCAGUGUUACACACAGCUUAUUUCUAGAGAAAAUUCAGGAGAGGCCAAGGCAGCUCUUAACCGACUUCCUUAGGUCCCGGGUACAUUGCUCAACACUCGCAACUGCCAGAUGAGACUGUGCCUCCCCCUCACCUGCAUAAAGGGAGCUUGUUAAGGACUGCAUUAGGACUGAAGGCAAGUUCCUAAGUCACUGUCACCUUUGGCUGCACAUGGUGAGUGUUCUGUUCUCUUCUGCAAAAGGCACAUAUGGACUAUAUGGACUCGUUAGCAAGGACUGAGCUGGGGAAUGACUGGGUAGGAGUGCUCCCUGACCCUGGAAUGUAAAUUACAGCUUAGAACAUUCCAAACCAUAAUUUGUCCUCCAAAAAAACAUGUCCCUGCUCUUCCCACCAGUUGGUUAAACAUCUUGUUUCCAGUAGCUUUCUGAUUGCUAUAAGAAUUCCUAAAUAAUGGUGGAUUUGUACCAUAGACUUUCUCAGUUUCUCACAAUUAGGUUUGGUUUGCUGCAUUGCAAAGACUGAGGAAUAACAGGCUGGGAAUCUGAAAUGCAUCCACUUGGAAAAAGGGCUUUAGAGAUGCAGAUGUGUGGUUGAUUAUUUAUUGUUAAUAUGAGAAGAGAGUCCACUGAGUGAUCUGGUGCACUGGACAUGGCAUUAUCUCUGGAAAAGCAUCAGAUGCUUUAGAAUUCGCAUCCUAGAAUGGCACAACAUGACCGCGUUGUGCCUGAAGCACUAAAACUGAAAGCAAUGAAUCUCAUCUCUGCAUCCAAUCUCUCUUUGUUUACAGGACUCUGCUAUCUGUCUUCGUGCAUUUCACAGAUAAGCUAGCCAGAUGGUCUGAGCAGUGAUCACCAUCAAAAGAACAGGGGAAAAAAAGAGUCUGAGAAUGGCAAAACCAGGGCAAAACCUUCUUAGCAACAGUGGUGUGAAUCUUUGAGACAAGAUACAGGAGAUUGCCAAGUUAGAAGUUGAAGAAUAAAGAAUGGGAAGGCAUCUUCAUAAAGAAAAGGAGUUCUGCCUUUUAUGACAGAUGAGUUGAGAAGUGACCAGACAGGAGCUGCAAGCAAGUCCCAGUAUGUAGUCUCCUUAUCAAGAUAUUUACUGAGUCACAACAAAAUAGUGUACACAAGCAGUGUAAAGUCUUUGGAUGGCCAUGAUAGGAUUGGCUACAGGCAGCAUAGCGUGGGGCACCUGUUAAUCGCAGCUUUAUCUUCACUGCCAACUGCCCUUAUCUGCUGGUAUGCUGUGGCUAUUCCGCUGUGAGAUCAUCCUGGAAACAAGACACUGCAGUUUCAGUGGCAACUGAGAAUGUAAGGUCAAACAUGAGCAAAGCCAUCACUGCUUUCCCCAGCUAAUACCUUGCCCUUGGCUGAGAUUCACAGAGUGUGUACUUAAGGACAGUAUUCCUUAUCUCUUUUGUUUGUUGAUUGUUCUUGAAAUGAAUAUUAGCACUUGAGAGAAGCUAAAACAAUACCUCAGAGGCUGUAGUACCUCACCAAGCUGUUCCAUCAGCCGAUAUGGUGGCCAAGUGUUGGUAGGAAGAACAUCUGGGGGAAUAUUCCCAUUGAAAGCAAGACAAGGCAGAGGUGAAGUCCAAGCUGUUUGUCUCUGUGCUGUGGUUUGAAUUAAUACUGUCAUUUUUAUACUUCAUGUACAUGCAUUUUCCUUUUUGCUUUAACAUGUUUUUAAUACCCUUGUAAAUGAAUUACAAUUGUUUCCUGCUUUUGUCA